UUAUGGCCAUAUCACAUUCAAACACCAGUCCCAUACAAUCAAUGAAGUUAAGCAAUGUUAAGCCUGGUCAGUACCUAGAUGAGUGACCACUUGGGAAUACCAGGUGCUGUAUG
Molecule: non-coding RNA, 113 nt
Organism: Acanthosepion pharaonis
Lineage: Eukaryota; Metazoa; Mollusca; Cephalopoda; Sepiida; Sepiidae
Source: the annotation of a GenBank genome assembly